AAUCUUCUGCAACAUCACGUCCUACCACAACCUGUCGCAGCCGCAGGAACAUCGACUGUCCCAACAAUGUAACAUUUAAGACCGAGUGCUGCGCAACCACCGCUGAGUGGCAUGGAAGCAUGGAAAAAAAUGAGAGGCUCACACACGCUCUUCUUUGUUCUGCAGGUCUUCGUGAGCUCAGUGCAUCUUCAAAGUUUCUGUGGCCGAAGACGGCAACUGUUGGUGCAGAAGUGAGAUACACUAAGGAAGGAUGGUGUAUAAUCAAAUGAGCUUGACACACGCUCAAAGUGCUCCCCAAUAGCGUCUGCCUGGUCUUGCAAGGUAUUCCUUCAUCAUUCACCAGAUGCAGUGGAUGGAUUUGUUGCCCAUUUGGCUUUCUUAAGCUAUUCGGCACUUUCGCCUCCUGUGUGUAUUAAUUUACGCCCGAGAGGAACCUCAUCCGGCUUUCUCUUUUCGCUUGACGACGUCUCUGCCUUCCCUGGGGUUUAUAGUGUUUAAAUUGAACGAGAUUAUCAGCACUUAACGAUGCACGUAAUCAGUACAAUGCGUUAUUAUGCCUCUUUCACUCAUCUCUACAGUCUUCGUUCUACCAGCGAACACGUCUUUUAAGUGAACCACCACUUGUUUGGGGAAUAAACAUUUCGGCUGCAUCAAUAUAAAAGCAGUGAAAUUUACGACACA
Dermacentor andersoni is the source of this 681-nucleotide long non-coding RNA. RefSeq lists it as uncharacterized. The record is from RefSeq and is a predicted model, not a curated record. Lineage: Eukaryota; Metazoa; Arthropoda; Arachnida; Ixodida; Ixodidae.